GGACGCAGCGUUGACGCGUAAAAGGUGCUUACGUACUCGGCGAGCCUCCCCUCACAUGAUAACCGUCUGCUCCGCUCCUCUCCUUGCGCAGAGGCAGAGCCCCUCAUCCCAAAAGCAAACCCUAGGCUAGGCUAGCCUAGCCGCCAUGGCUCAGAGCCUUCUUUCCUCUGCUGAUACAUCUUAUUCAACCACUGUGCGCCUCCCUCCCUCGUCGCUUCCACUUGGUCUGUGGCUAACUCGGCCGGAUCUCGGGAGGCAGAUCAACUUUGGGUGGAUCCUGGCGAGGAGAUCCGUGUCUCGCGCCCUGCACGCAACUAGAUCCGGCGAUACGUCCAUGUCCCUUGUUGCCAACCGUGGGGACGUCGCUUGAAGCUGGUGAUGCAUCCUCUGUAUUAGGCCAUGGCGUUCUUUUUCCGGAGAAAGCUCCGGUGUGCUGGAAGCAGCGGGGGAGGCACACCGGACAGCUCGGCCGACGGGGAGGCCUCAAGUUGACGAGAGGACCGGCGCCGGGGAAGAGGAUUGAAGGGUCUCUUGGUCAGGUGAUGAAUUAUGUCUGUAUUUUCAGAUCUGCGCAAACGUUUCCUUGCCCAGCAGAUUUUUUACUAGUAUGGCUUACAUCUGGGUCGUGGUCUCCAUCCUUCCUCUCUGUUUUGCCCUCUCCUCAUGUCUUAGAUCCGUCUGUCGAGACCUGGUUUUUUCUUCGUUUGUUUUCUAGUCUUCGAGAAAUCGAGAGUUGCAAUCUUUGUUGGCUCACCAUCUCAGCCAAGAUUGCUUCUCUCAGAUCCCAUCGCCGCCGCCGUCUUGUGCGCUGAAGAAAUUUUCUGCAAGGGGCAACUUGAUUGGUGCUAGUCAUCCGUGGUCAGACCUGGUUUGUGAUUUGGAGGUGGUGAAUGAAGUAUUCGCAAAUAUAACUAGUAGAAAAGGUUAUUAAAUCAUAGAUCUAGAUAGUUAGACUUGUCUUCUAAUUCGAUGUCCAGUCAGUUUCGACUUGGUUUUCUCCUUCUGGACUCACGUUUGUUUUUUCAUCUUCGAGAGUUGCAAUCUUUGCUUGGCCAAAAGGCCACGUUGCAGCCGAAGCUACCUCUCUCGAAUCCCUUAGUUGUCCGAUCAACGCCGCUGUCUUGUGCACCUUUAUGCAGCCAGUGCAAGCCAGCAGUGUGGUCUCUGAAUUUCUUGUACGUCAGAAUUUGUAGGCCUCGGGCAAAAACUGAUCUGGAUUUAUCCCUCUUUCCCCAGUCGGUCAUUUCCAACAAAUUUUAUUAUACGGAUUUGCGAAAUACCCGCAGCUUUUUUUUGUCGAAAAUCAUUUUUUAUUGGAUUCAUAAAAGCCUCUUUGGAGCUAGUAGGUACCCUGCAUUCCAGAUCCUGGUGCUUGAGUCUACCCGUCGACGCCUUCCUCAAUCAAAGUCCAAAGGGCCAAAGUAGGACACCGGUGACCCAGCUUAUAUUUGCUUUGUAUAUGAAUAAGUGGUAUAACAGUUUCUGCAAUAAUCAUGGAUCUAGAUAGUUAGACCUGUCUUGCAAAUUUUUCGGUGAAAACGUGAUAAUUGAGAAAAGAUUCCUAGCUCUCCGAUUCUCUGUAUUACAUUAACAUACUUCUUCUGAUCUUUAAGCCAAUGUUUUUUUUACUUAAUAUGAUCUGAUUUGCCAAGUUCUAGAAAUUGGACCAUGUGGAGUUUCCCCCUGUUGGCCUUCUGUCUAAUGUGAAAAGAUUGUUGCUCCAUGAAAACGUAGGGAAGGGCAAGGUAUUGUGUUCUUUGGCAACAUAUCUCAUCCACUCAGCAUUUUUUUAUUUUUAGGACAUAUGUUUUUUUAUUACUUGUGGAUCGACAUAAUGUUUUUUUUUCCAUUACUUUUUGGGCGAAAAUCCUCAGCUAGUCAAUUUAUAAGAUGAAAAGUUGUUCUACAAUAAUAUAAGAUCAUUUUUCAAGCUAACAUUAGCUUGAAAAACAAUCUUAUAUUGUGGGACGGAGGGAGUAUCCGUUCAGGUGUAAUCUACGGUGAAUAGAUUGAGGGCACUUGGAUAUUGAUGUUUUCAGUUCUUUUGGUUGAUCAAACAGAACAAAGAAGAAGAGGGACCAACAAUCAUUCCCUGGUGCACUGUUGAAUGUACCUAUAUCUCCUAAGUGGUAUUUCAUUUGACUUUGUUAAUUGAUGAUAUUUCUUGGUCACAUAAUGCUUUCCUGUUGAACUAGGUCUUUAGGAUCAUGUGUUUGGUUAAUACAGGUUGUUUCUAAUAAGUAGGUUCAGUGUUGAAUGAAAAACAACAAUUCCCCAUUUUAUUCAAUGCAAUGCCCUCAGAACAAAGUUAUAAGCGUCCUCCCUUUAAUACUUCAGUCCUCGUAAAGCCCACUAUAGAGACUACUCCCACUGUUCCAAAAUAACUGAAAUUCAAGAUUUGUACUUGAGUCAAACUUCUUUAAGUUGAACCAAAAUUAUAUAGAUGAUAUUUUCUAUAAAUUAUUUUAUUCAGCAGCAUUAUGAAAUAGUUCCUUUUCUCAUGUACUCCCUCCAUUCCUAAAUAUAAGACUAAUUGAACUACCAAAACGUCUUAUAUUUAGGAACGGAGGGAGUAGUUUAUUUCCUGUGUAUCUCACUAGAAGUCCUACAUGUUGGACAAAAGUUCUAUACACCAUGUUUUAAUAUUAAAAAAACUACUUUAUUUUGCAGCACUAUAAAAUAUAGUUAACUCCAUGUAGCCAUUCCACCUUAAUGAAGAAAUAGAGCCAAGAACAGAAGUCCCCAUGAGAGCUAGUACGAUGCUAUUGCACGUCCAGCACCAACCAACAGAAUGAAACACCCUUAAAUAAAAUGGAUUUGCUAAUUAUCUUCUAGACGAGAAUUAACAGUCUCAUCUAACUCAAUACACUAUUUGAUUAAUCCAAAAAAAAAUCCCCAUGAAUCUCCAUGUAAAAUCCAAUAAUAUAGGAAUUGGAUGAGACAUACUCCCACUGUCCUAUAAUAUAAGACGUUCUUGCAAGCUAUUUUAGCUUAGGCUAGUCAUAGUGGGAGUAACAUAAGUAGUAACAUACAUGCCACAUAAGCAAAAAAAAUGAUGUGUCAUGCAAUUAAAGAGGAGAGAGACAAAUGGAGUAACAUAAUAUGUUACCAUCACAUAGCGCUUUUCAAUGCAAAAUGAGUCCACAAUGCAAUAAAUGUAUAUAUGCAUGUUACUACACCUAUGACACUUCCCACUAUGGAGGUAACAUACAUAUGUUACUAGUCUAAGUUACUCCCCACUAUGACUAGCCUUAUAAAAACGUCUUAUAUUAUGAGGCGGAGGGAGUAGUUAUUUCUCAUCCGGCUGAGAGCUCAGCAUGCUAAAUAAAAUGUUGUUUUGUAGGUUUAUAAUAAGUAGGUUUUACUUUGUUCUAGUCAGUAUUCAGUGUAUUGUAAUUUAUAAAAAGCAAUAAUAACUUUGAUGCUUAUCGAUUGACUUUAGCAACACAGGAAAUUUAGCAUGUUUCAAAACCUGUUUAAAUGUGUACUCUUUUUUAUGACUUUAGCAACACAGGAAAUUUCCUCAGUGAUCCUAUUCUUUUCUUUUUUACAAAAACGAGUGAGUUUUCCAGUGUCAGACUAUAGGAUAGACUUAUAAAUUUCAAAAGAGGAACAGCAAGGUUUUUCCUACAAUAACAGUGAGUUUUGCAGUGUCUGGCUAUAAUAUACUAGUACUUCCUUGCCCAGGCAACACAACUUUUCCUCAGUGGUUCUAUUUAUUCAAAAGAGGAACAGGAGCUUUUUAGUUAGGAAGCUACAGAAAUCAACCAGUUAUUAUCUGAAGCAGCAGAAAUUUGGCACAGAUAGUAUCUGGCCAGCAUGAUAGGGUCAAUUUGCCUAACCCAGAUGAGACAGACCAGCAUGCUUAAACUAAUUUGAAGGCAGAAUUAAUUAUGAUGGCAAUACAAAACUAGUUGUAACCAUCUUGUCAAAGUAUGGCAGAAGCACACAGUUGACGAUUCCAUGCACAUGAUUUAUGAAGAAGCAAGUCUACUUGACUUUCUAAUUGAGUGCCCUUUCUACUCUUAGAAAGGGAGUACUUAACAUUUAAAGCUCAAUGUUCAAUGGCAGGUUUAGCUAGAAAGCUAUUCAGAGAACAGAAAAACAGUUUGAUGGACAGACAAAUAGGCAUUGCAGAGCACAGGAUAUGUUAUCAAACCAUGGCCACGAUUUGGACCAACAACCAAAGUACAGGCACCGGCACCACCGACGAAUCAAUUUAUUAUUACAGAGGAAGAUGCAAAAUUCUUUGACUGUCCAAGCCACGAGUCGUAAGAACAGGGCAGAUCGGCGCUAAUAUAGUACCUCAUUUGUGGGCCGGCUUCUCGGACUUGGCCUUGGAGGAGGCCGUCCCCUUGUUCGCCUCCUUAGACCGCUUCCGAUCCUUCCCGCUCUGAUUGUCCUUCCUUUGUUGCUGAUCCCCUGGCGAGAUUCUGGGCGAGCUUUAACUCCUUGUCCCGCGCUGCCUUGCACGCUGGCCGGUGCAUGUACGUGAAGUAGAAGACGUAGCCUCCGAUGUCCUUGCGGCAGAACUCGCACCACCGUACGGCGAUCUCAUCUUCCCCCGCGCCGCCACCACCGCCAGCCCCCUCCCCCUCUCCGCCCCCACCGCCAGCGCCAGCCUCAGCCACGCCACCUGCCAUCGCCUUCUGCUGCUAUGUCGGAUCCCCUCUCUCUCCUCGCACCAAAUCGCCCUCCGCCGCUUCUCAAGACCUCCUCGGGAAACCCUUGCUGCUCCUUCACAACGAUAGAGGAGAUGGGGGCAGGUGACCUGGGUAGUAGCGGGCCUGGAAGCCUAUUUUCUGUUGGGCUGGGCCCAUGUAUAUGUGCCUGUGUGUUGUGGAAAUACAUUUUUUUGAUAGAAGAAGAAUUAAAAAUGUAUCCUUCUAAAAAAAGAUAGAACAAUUAUAUAUGUAUUUUGUAUAAGAUGUGUGAUUAAAUAAAUUAUUUAUUUGGUAGAACAAUCAUAUAUGUAUUUUUGGCGGGUGAAUUAUAUAUUUAUUUUGCAGAAAUAUACUAUGUGUGAUUAAAUGAAAAAUUUGUUUGAAGAAUUAUAUAUGUAUUUUGCAGAAAUACAUGUGUGAUUAAAUAAAUAAAUAAUUUUACA
Long non-coding RNA from Aegilops tauschii subsp. strangulata, 5107 nucleotides. RefSeq lists it as uncharacterized. NCBI's taxonomy places the organism in Eukaryota, Viridiplantae, Streptophyta, Magnoliopsida, Poales, Poaceae. The record is from RefSeq and is a predicted model, not a curated record.